GGACCCGCACAAGCGGUGGAGUAUGUGGUUUAAUUCGAUGCAACGCGAAGAACCUUACCAGGGUUUGACAUCCUGCGAAUCUUUUGGAAACAAGAGAGUGCCUUCGGGAACGCAGUGACAGGUGGUGCAUGGCUGUCGUCAGCUCGUGUCGUGAGAUGUUGGUUAAGUCCCGCAACGAGCGCAACCCACGUCUUUAGUUGCCAGCAUUUAGUUGGGCACUCUAGAGAGACUGCCGGUGAUAAACCGGAGGAAGGUGUGGAUGACGUCAAGUCAUCAUGCCCCCUUACAUCCUGGGCUACACACGUACUACAAUGCUACGGACAAAGGGCAGCAAGUUCGCGAGGAC
RNAcentral lists this ribosomal RNA (346 nucleotides) under uncultured bacterium. RNAcentral's name for it is "bacterial SSU rRNA". It matches the Rfam family "Bacterial small subunit ribosomal RNA", at positions 917 to 1264 of the family's 1533-position model. The record is from RNAcentral.